AUAUCGGCCGAAUUUCGUAAGGAAAACGGGGGAACCGUAUUUUUGGGGUGAAUUUCACAGGCAGGCUUCGUGCAGUUGGUUUGGAAGUGGCGAAAGCGUCUGUGAAUAGGGCAACUGUGCAUGUCCGAAUCCGUCAGCUAACCUCGUAGGCCUUU
RNAcentral lists this small RNA (155 nucleotides) under Paenibacillus rubeinfantis. RNAcentral describes it as "Paenibacillus rubinfantis ydaO/yuaA leader". It matches the Rfam family "c-di-AMP riboswitch aptamer (ydaO/yuaA leader)", at positions 11 to 122 of the family's 134-position model. Rfam says of the family: This family represents a conserved RNA structure found upstream of the ydaO and yuaA genes in Bacillus subtilis and related genes in other bacteria. The ydaO/yuaA element is thought to act as a genetic "off" switch for the ydaO and yuaA genes in its native state. It is believed that the element may be triggered during osmotic shock leading to activation of ydaO, a predicted amino acid transporter gene, and members of the yuaA-yubG operon which code for KtrA and KtrB K+ transporters. Lineage: Bacteria; Bacillati; Bacillota; Bacilli; Caryophanales; Paenibacillaceae. The record is from RNAcentral.